UUACUAAGGUUCAAUAUGUACCAUAUUAAGAGAACUUUGUCCUCAAACACUUAAAUAACUUAACUAAAAGCAGCACUGUUAAUAUCAUAAAAUUUCUAGGGAGAAACACAUAUCCUCUGCUCUCCGUGUUCUAUAGAGGAGAGUUGACUUCAAUUCUCUAGAAGAAAAAAAUCUGAGAGCAGCUCUAGUUUCCACCCAAUGCCAAAUCUCUCUAGUUCAGUGAGAACUGAACAGAAGGAAACACAUGUGAAUAAGUAGCUUAGGAACUCCUGAGUUCUCUUCGGAGAUCUUUGGAGAAGCUGAUCCUGGAUGCACGUAUUCACCUCUGCCAGGAGGGGAGAGGACUCUGAAGACCAAGAAGAGGACUGAGCCACAAUAUGGAAGAUCAUUUUCCAAAAAUAGCCAAGCGAAGACCCCUCAACCAUGAGGAUUCUUGGUAGACUGUGACAUAAAAAUAAAAUAAAGAUUGACUGUGUUAAAUUGC
Herpailurus yagouaroundi (jaguarundi) is the source of this 484-nucleotide long non-coding RNA. RefSeq lists it as uncharacterized. The record is from RefSeq and is a predicted model, not a curated record. NCBI's taxonomy places the organism in Eukaryota, Metazoa, Chordata, Mammalia, Carnivora, Felidae. The transcript has 2 exons.